UCAUACAUAAUUUAGUUCGUUGUUUUUCUUCUUCGUGAUUUUAUAUUUUGUCGCGCAAUGGAUGAAUUAAGGAAAUUUUAAUUGAGUUGGAAGGCGAACCAUUUUUGAACGUGUUUAUUGAAAGCGGUCUAACUAAGGAAUCAUUGAAGCUCCUAAAUCCAAACCAAUUGGAUACAUUGAUCGAAACAUCGCAGUUUGGGCCAAGGGUAAUUUUUGAACAUAAUCUGCUCAAUUGGCAAGCGCAACAGGGAAUACAAACACAAGCCAUUCACACUGAGGCAUGCGCUUUAUUGGCAAAUGAAUGUCGUGGCGAGGAAUCUUUUGAAGCAAUACUCAGAUAUAUAUUACAUUCAUAAGAAAAGAAAAAAGCCAGGUGGAUCUCUGUAUGCUAAGUACCACAGUGUAUUAUUGAAACUUAGACGGGAUGGUCUUAUUUCCAAAAGAGAUGUAGAACCAACAAAAGGAACGGAGAUUAAUUCUUGCGUAACAGGUAUAUACAUA
This is a long non-coding RNA of Anastrepha ludens (Mexican fruit fly), 501 nucleotides long. RefSeq lists it as uncharacterized. Lineage: Eukaryota; Metazoa; Arthropoda; Insecta; Diptera; Tephritidae. The record is from RefSeq and is a predicted model, not a curated record. The transcript has 6 exons.